RNAcentral lists this long non-coding RNA (2349 nucleotides) under Taeniopygia guttata (zebra finch). Its description in RNAcentral is "lncRNA (ENSTGUG00000027300.1)". The record is from RNAcentral. Lineage: Eukaryota; Metazoa; Chordata; Aves; Passeriformes; Estrildidae.
AGGUUUUAUAACAAACAUUAGGUAAGCAGCAAUCAUCCCCAUUGUGUAAUCUGGAUUCAGGAAUCCUGCUUUGUCAGGGGCUCUAUUCUGCAAGGCGUAGAGCCCACUGUGAGGGGUGAGUGCUCUCUCUCUCCCCAGUGUCAGUGGCCAUGGAGAACACUCAUCAUAUUUUGGGAAUGUCCAACACAUUAUUUCAGAAUGGCAAGCACCUUCCAGUACUGGAUCUGGCAGAAAUGGCACCAGAGCAAACUAGAGUCUUGCUUUUGGACCAGACUGUGAUUUUGAAGGACGUGAGGAAGUUCAUUAUGCUGGAUAUGAGCCUGCUCCUGCUCUGACUGAAAGCCAAAGAAGACAAAAAUCCAUCAUUCCCACCUCCAGGUCAGCUGCUCAGCUCUUUUUUCCUGCCAAGAUGAUUGCUCUGCCUACCUCUGCCCAGAAGAGGAGCCAGUGAGAGGAGCUGCGUGUUAGGGACCUUGCACUGAGGACCAACCUCCCAGAAUUUCAAGAGUGCUAAGGAAUGUGCUGGAUCAGACACUGGGGAGGUGCCUUUUUACAUAAUUACCACAAUUUUUUAGUCAAAGACCGCCUAGGGCCCCCUCUGGCUAUGCUGCAGUCUCUAUUGCAAAGCUUUUGCUUACUUAACUGAGGAAAAAUAUAUUUAAGACUGCACAGGCCAGGGGAAGGAAUGGGCCUGCAUUGUCAGCUCCUGCUGGAGCCCUGCUACUGUGUCCUACUGCCAGCAUGGAUACACCUGCUGCUGCUACGCACAAAUUGUCUUUCUGCUGCCAAGAGACAUCCACCAACACCCGCAGUCACGCCGAACCCUGAUGGCGACCAGAGGAGCUGCUGGUCCUGGCAGUGCAGCAGGGAUGAGGCAGAUUGAAUUAUGAGUUAAUCAGUUUUGAUCCAGUCACUCUGCUGCUAAUCAAAUUACCCUGUUCAGCUCAGCAUUGGUUUGGAGCAUGUCUACUCUUGGUGCCAAUGCAGUUCAAGUGGCACCCUGACGAAUCCACGUUUCCAGUGAAGGCAAGCCCUAGAAAGCUUAAGCCAUGCAAAAAUCUUUACUGUAGAACUGUACAACAAAACACUUCUUGUCCUCUUUAUGAAGACUGUACCAUUAUUUUGUUUGAUGUUACAAAGGCUAAAAAGAUGUACAGAAAGGAUGCACAGAAGGAUGUAUGGAAAACGGCAGUAUGCUGAUUACUGAGUCAAAUUUUAUUUGUGAGGAACACAAGCACGUGAGAAUUGCCCAGACUGAUGAUUUGUGGCUGGGAGCUGUGGAACUCUGAAAGGGACACUUGUGCUACUUUUUGCAGAAGGAGUUAAGGCCUCACAUCAGCAACACACAACUUCCUCUAAACUGCUGGUUUAAAAGUAACAUUAGAAAAACUAUUUAAAACAACAAUGUGUUUGCUGAGAACAUAUUACUUACUCAGGGAAUUUUCUUAGUUUUCUUUUUCUUCCUCAAUGUAAUUUUUGCUCUGUAGCUGCCUGAAAGUCAUGGCACAAAAUCAUUUACUCCUUCAGUACAUUCCAGUUGACUUCAAAAGAUUGCUGGCGUAAGAAGGAAAGUGCUUGGUUUUCGUUUAUUCUACAAAAGAGGAACAUGAUAUAAAUAAUUUAGAUGACUCGUCUUUGCCAAUGCCUUGUUAACCUGAAAGUUCCCAAUUCAUGUCAGGGUUCAUGUGGGCUCUGGCUGCUGUACAGCCCAGGUUUUGUGCAGCCUGGGUUCAGCUGCAGCAGCCACAAGCAUGACUGAAGUGGUCACAAGAUAACACUUGUGUUAAGGGAAGAGGGUGCAAAUUCUCUUUCUUUUGAAUAAUGACAUUUACAGAGCAGUAAAUUGCAUUUCAGUGCUUGGCCACUUAGUGCCUCUCCAGAUGGCUUAAAUGGAGCAAAACCCCAACUCUCUGUAUAGUACUCAGCUACAUGAGUUGCCGUUGCCCAUGAUUUUAAAUAAUUUUAGAGGCUGUUUGAAAACAUGACCUCAUUGCUGUCUUCAGCUUCACAGGGGGAAGUGGAGCGGCAGGCACUGAUCUCUUCCAUCUGGUGACCUGUGACAGGACCUGAGGGAAUGGCCUGAAGUUGGUGAAGUUUAGGUUGGUUAUUACAAAAAGGUUUUUGCCCCAGAGGGUGGCUGGGCACUGGAACAGCUCCCCAGGGCAGUGGGCACAGCACCAGCCUGCCAGAGCUGAAGGAGCGUUUGGACAAUGUUCUCAGGCACAUGGUGCGACUCUUGGGGAUGUGCUGUGCAGGGCAGGCAGUCGGACUCAGUCCCUUCCAACUCGGUAUAUUCUGUGAGAUAUAUUUAUCUACUUAUAGACAAUAACUAAAUAAAUACGUACAUCC